This 506-nucleotide long non-coding RNA is filed under the name Oryctolagus cuniculus (rabbit). Its description in RNAcentral is "lncRNA (ENSOCUG00000034068.1)". The record is from RNAcentral. Lineage: Eukaryota; Metazoa; Chordata; Mammalia; Lagomorpha; Leporidae.
AUGGAAACGUGGCGGGCUCAUGAAGGCUGUCCUGCCCGCCCACACACAGAAGGAAGAGCAGGAUUAUGUGACAGAUUCCCGGAAAAGAUCCUGGUGGUGCCAUACAGCUCCUGCCGUCAGCAGGAAGGCAGAAGCAGAGUUCAGUGUUCCGGUGUGCAGGGUGGACCUUUCCUUGAAACAAUUUGGAAUCUGAUGAUCCGAAUCAAGACUGGAAGCAUGGUGUUAGUGCACCUGCUGAAAACGUGUAACAGAGUGGCAUCCCGCGAGCAAAAAACCCCAGCUCUGCCACUGCACUGCUCUCCUGGAUUCGCUUAGGCAAGUCAUUUAACUGUCUUUUUCUUUUUUUUUUCUUUUCUUAUUAGAAAAAUGGAUCAAAUGAUAAAACCUGUAGGGGCUAGUGGUGUGGUGUAGUGGGUUAAGCAACCACCUGUGACACUGGCAUUUCAUCCUGGAGGGCCAGUUCGAGUCCCAGCUGCUCCACUUCCAAUCCAGCUCCCUGCUAACAC